UCAGGAUGAACGCUAGCGGCAGGCUUAACACGAUGCAAGUCGAGGGGCAUCGGGAGUAGCAAUACUGCCGGCGACCGGCGCAAGGGUGCGUAACGCGUGAGCAACAGUGCCCGUAUCAGGGGGAUAAUCCAUGGAAACGUGGUCUAAUACCCCAUAGUAAUUAUGUAAGGCAUCUUAUAUAAUUUAAAGCUUUGGUGGAUACGGAUUGGCUCGCGUGACAUUAGCUGGAUGGUAAGGUAACGGCUUACCAUGGCUACGAUGUCUAGGGGUUCUGAGAGGAAGGUCCCCCACACUGGAACUGAGACACGGUCCAGACUCCUACGGGAGGCAGCAGUGAGGAAUAUUGGACAAUGGAUGGAAAUCUGAUCCAGCCAUGCCGCGUGCCAGGAAGACGGCCCUAUGGGUUGUAAACUGCUUUUGUAUGGGAGCAAUAAGGGCUACGUGUAGUCCGAUGAGAGUACCAUACGAAUAAGCACCGGCUAACUCCGUGCCAGCCGCCGC
RNAcentral lists this ribosomal RNA (501 nucleotides) under uncultured bacterium. RNAcentral describes it as "bacterial SSU rRNA". It matches the Rfam family "Bacterial small subunit ribosomal RNA", at positions 24 to 518 of the family's 1533-position model. The record is from RNAcentral.